This 255-nucleotide ribosomal RNA is filed under the name uncultured bacterium. Its description in RNAcentral is "partial 16S ribosomal RNA". It matches the Rfam family "Bacterial small subunit ribosomal RNA", at positions 524 to 776 of the family's 1533-position model. The record is from RNAcentral.
CACGUAGGGUGCGAGCGUUGUCCGGAAUUAUUGGGCGUAAAGAGCUCGUAGGCGGUGUGUCGCGUCGGCCGUGAAAACCUGCAGCUUAACUGUGGGCUUGCGGUCGAUACGGGCAUCACUGGAGUUCGGCAGGGGAGACUGGAAUUCCUGGUGUAGCGGUGAAAUGCGCAGAUAUCAGGAGGAACACCGAUAGCGAAGGCAGCUCGCUGGGACGUACUGACACUGAGGCGCGGAAAGCGUGGGGGAGCGAACAGG